RNAcentral lists this ribosomal RNA (172 nucleotides) under Triphoturus nigrescens (highseas lampfish). RNAcentral describes it as "partial small subunit ribosomal RNA". Lineage: Eukaryota; Metazoa; Chordata; Actinopteri; Myctophiformes; Myctophidae. The record is from RNAcentral.
CACCGCGGUCAUACAAGUGUUAGCCCAAGUGGAUGGUGAGCGGCGUAAAGCGUGGCUAGGGGCCCCUAACACUAAAGUUGAACACCCGCAGAGCAGUUAUACGCACCCGAUGGUAUGAAAUCCCACCACGAAAGUGACUUUAACCAAGCCCGAACCCACGAAAGCUAGGGAA